GCAUGGUAGCCGAGUGGGUAAAGCAUUAGAGCUAUUAACCGAAAAUCAAUGGUUCGAAUCCAUCCCGUAGCA
Molecule: non-coding RNA, 72 nt
Organism: Rhamnusium bicolor
Lineage: Eukaryota; Metazoa; Arthropoda; Insecta; Coleoptera; Cerambycidae
Source: the annotation of a GenBank genome assembly